This 253-nucleotide ribosomal RNA is filed under the name uncultured bacterium. RNAcentral's name for it is "partial 16S ribosomal RNA". It matches the Rfam family "Bacterial small subunit ribosomal RNA", at positions 524 to 776 of the family's 1533-position model. The record is from RNAcentral.
UACGGAGGGUGCAAGCGUUAAUCGGAAUUAUUGGGCGUAAAGGGCGCGUAGGCUGUUAGAAAAGUCUGGUGUGAAAUACCGUGGCUCAACCACGGUGCUGCAUCGGAAACUAUUUGACUUGAGGGUAGGCGGAGAAAACGGAAUUCCAAGUGUAGCGGUGAAAUGCGUAGAUAUUUGGAAGAACACCGGUGGCGAAAGCGGUUUUCUAGCUUAUUCCUGACGCUGAGGCGCGAGAGCAAGGGGAGCAAACAGG